RNAcentral lists this ribosomal RNA (2902 nucleotides) under Klebsiella pneumoniae. Its description in RNAcentral is "23S ribosomal RNA". It matches the Rfam family "Bacterial large subunit ribosomal RNA". The record is from RNAcentral. Lineage: Bacteria; Pseudomonadati; Pseudomonadota; Gammaproteobacteria; Enterobacterales; Enterobacteriaceae.
GGUUAAGCGACUAAGCGUACACGGUGGAUGCCCUGGCAGUCAGAGGCGAUGAAGGACGUGCUAAUCUGCGAAAAGCGUCGGUAAGGUGAUAUGAACCGUUACAGCCGGCGAUGUCCGAAUGGGGAAACCCAGUGCAAUUCGUUGCACUAUCGUUAACUGAAUACAUAGGUUAACGAGGCGAACCGGGGGAACUGAAACAUCUAAGUACCCCGAGGAAAAGAAAUCAACCGAGAUUCCCCCAGUAGCGGCGAGCGAACGGGGAGCAGCCCAGAGUCUGAAUCAGCUUGUGUGUUAGUGGAACGGUCUGGAAAGUCCGACGGUACAGGGUGAUAGUCCCGUACACCAAAAUGCACAGGCUGUGAACUCGAAGAGUAGGGCGGGACACGUGGUAUCCUGUCUGAAUAUGGGGGGACCAUCCUCCAAGGCUAAAUACUCCUGACUGACCGAUAGUGAACCAGUACCGUGAGGGAAAGGCGAAAAGAACCCCGGCGAGGGGAGUGAAAAAGAACCUGAAACCGUGUACGUACAAGCAGUGGGAGCACCUUCGGGUGUGACUGCGUACCUUUUGUAUAAUGGGUCAGCGACUUAUAUUCUGUAGCAAGGUUAACCGUAUAGGGGAGCCGCAGGGAAACCGAGUCUUAACUGGGCGUUAAGUUGCAGGGUAUAGACCCGAAACCCGGUGAUCUAGCCAUGGGCAGGUUGAAGGUUGGGUAACACUAACUGGAGGACCGAACCGACUAAUGUUGAAAAAUUAGCGGAUGACUUGUGGCUGGGGGUGAAAGGCCAAUCAAACCGGGAGAUAGCUGGUUCUCCCCGAAAGCUAUUUAGGUAGCGCCUCGUGAACUCAUCUUCGGGGGUAGAGCACUGUUUCGGCUAGGGGGUCAUCCCGACUUACCAACCCGAUGCAAACUACGAAUACCGAAGAAUGUUAUCACGGGAGACACACGGCGGGUGCUAACGUCCGUCGUGAAGAGGGAAACAACCCAGACCGCCAGCUAAGGUCCCAAAGUCAUGGUUAAGUGGGAAACGAUGUGGGAAGGCACAGACAGCCAGGAUGUUGGCUUAGAAGCAGCCAUCAUUUAAAGAAAGCGUAAUAGCUCACUGGUCGAGUCGGCCUGCGCGGAAGAUGUAACGGGGCUAAACCAUGCACCGAAGCUGCGGCAGCGACACUAUGUGUUGUUGGGUAGGGGAGCGUUCUGUAAGCCUGCGAAGGUGACCUGUGAGGGUUGCUGGAGGUAUCAGAAGUGCGAAUGCUGACAUAAGUAACGAUAAAGCGGGUGAAAAGCCCGCUCGCCGGAAGACCAAGGGUUCCUGUCCAACGUUAAUCGGGGCAGGGUGAGUCGACCCCUAAGGCGAGGCCGAAAGGCGUAGUCGAUGGGAAACAGGUUAAUAUUCCUGUACUUGGUGUUACUGCGAAGGGGGGACGGAGAAGGCUAUGUUAGCCGGGCGACGGUUGUCCCGGUUUAAGCAUGUAGGCUGGUUGUCCAGGCAAAUCCGGAUAAUCAAGGCUGAGGUGUGAUGACGAGGCACUACGGUGCUGAAGUAACAAAUGCCCUGCUUCCAGGAAAAGCCUCUAAGCAUCAGGUAACAUUAAAUCGUACCCCAAACCGACACAGGUGGUCAGGUAGAGAAUACCAAGGCGCUUGAGAGAACUCGGGUGAAGGAACUAGGCAAAAUGGUGCCGUAACUUCGGGAGAAGGCACGCUGGUGUGUAGGUGAAGUCCCUGCGGAUGGAGCUGAGACCAGUCGAAGAUACCAGCUGGCUGCAACUGUUUAUUAAAAACACAGCACUGUGCAAACACGAAAGUGGACGUAUACGGUGUGACGCCUGCCCGGUGCCGGAAGGUUAAUUGAUGGGGUUAUCCGUAAGGAGAAGCUCUUGAUCGAAGCCCCGGUAAACGGCGGCCGUAACUAUAACGGUCCUAAGGUAGCGAAAUUCCUUGUCGGGUAAGUUCCGACCUGCACGAAUGGCGUAAUGAUGGCCAGGCUGUCUCCACCCGAGACUCAGUGAAAUUGAACUCGCUGUGAAGAUGCAGUGUACCCGCGGCAAGACGGAAAGACCCCGUGAACCUUUACUAUAGCUUGACACUGAACAUUGAGCCUUGAUGUGUAGGAUAGGUGGGAGGCUUUGAAGCGUGGACGCCAGUCUGCGUGGAGCCAACCUUGAAAUACCACCCUUUAAUGUUUGAUGUUCUAACGUUGGCCCCUUACCGGGGUUGCGGACAGUGUCUGGUGGGUAGUUUGACUGGGGCGGUCUCCUCCCAAAGCGUAACGGAGGAGCACGAAGGUUAGCUAAUCCUGGUCGGACAUCAGGAGGUUAGUGCAAUGGCAUAAGCUAGCUUGACUGCGAGCGUGACGGCGCGAGCAGGUGCGAAAGCAGGUCAUAGUGAUCCGGUGGUUCUGAAUGGAAGGGCCAUCGCUCAACGGAUAAAAGGUACUCCGGGGAUAACAGGCUGAUACCGCCCAAGAGUUCAUAUCGACGGCGGUGUUUGGCACCUCGAUGUCGGCUCAUCACAUCCUGGGGCUGAAGUAGGUCCCAAGGGUAUGGCUGUUCGCCAUUUAAAGUGGUACGCGAGCUGGGUUUAGAACGUCGUGAGACAGUUCGGUCCCUAUCUGCCGUGGGCGCUGGAGAAUUGAGGGGGGCUGCUCCUAGUACGAGAGGACCGGAGUGGACGCAUCACUGGUGUUCGGGUUGUCAUGCCAAUGGCACUGCCCGGUAGCUAAAUGCGGAAGAGAUAAGUGCUGAAAGCAUCUAAGCACGAAACUUGCCCCGAGAUGAGUUCUCCCUGAGACUUUAAGUCUCCUGAAGGAACGUUGAAGACGACGACGUUGAUAGGCCGGGUGUGUAAGCGCAGCGAUGCGUUGAGCUAACCGGUACUAAUGAACCGUGAGGCUUAACCUU